RNAcentral lists this ribosomal RNA (440 nucleotides) under uncultured bacterium. RNAcentral's name for it is "bacterial SSU rRNA". It matches the Rfam family "Bacterial small subunit ribosomal RNA", at positions 338 to 771 of the family's 1533-position model. The record is from RNAcentral.
CCUACGGGAGGCAGCAGUGGGGAAUAUUGGACAAUGGGCGAAAGCCUGAUCCAGCAAUGCCGCGUGUGUGAAGAAGGCCUUCGGGUUGUAAAGCACUUUAGGCCGGGAAGAAAAAGCUUCACCUAACACGUGGAGCCUUGACGGUACCGGCGGAAUAAGCACCGGCUAACUCUGUGCCAGCAGCCGCGGUAAUACAGAGGGUGCUAGCGUUAAUCGGAUUUACUGGGCGUAAAGCGUGUGUAGGCGGUUCGUUAAGUCGGGUGUGAAAUCCCUGGGCUCAACCUGGGAAUUGCAUUCGAUACUGGCGAGCUAGAGUACGGUAGAGGGCGGCGGAAUUCCGGGUGUAGCGGUGAAAUGCGUAGAUAUCCGGAGGAACACCGAUGGCGAAGGCAACCGCCUGGGCCUGUACUGACGCUGAGACACGAAAGCGUGGGGAGCAA